UGAUCUGAGGAGGUUAUAGGGA
This 22-nucleotide unclassified non-coding RNA is filed under the name Mus musculus (house mouse). RNAcentral's name for it is "oocyte_clustered_small_RNA5565". The record is from RNAcentral. Lineage: Eukaryota; Metazoa; Chordata; Mammalia; Rodentia; Muridae.